RNAcentral lists this transfer RNA (76 nucleotides) under bacterium. Its description in RNAcentral is "tRNA-His". It matches the Rfam family "tRNA". Rfam says of the family: Transfer RNA (tRNA) molecules are approximately 80 nucleotides in length. Their secondary structure includes four short double-helical elements and three loops (D, anti-codon, and T loops). RNAcentral also lists the same sequence under 4 other names. The record is from RNAcentral.
GCAGGCGUAGCCAAGUGGUUAAGGCACCGGAUUGUGGUUCCGGCAUACGGGGGUUCAACUCCCCUCGCUUGCCCCA